Molecule: ribosomal RNA, 466 nt
Filed under: uncultured bacterium
Lineage: Bacteria
Description: bacterial SSU rRNA
Rfam family: Bacterial small subunit ribosomal RNA
Source: RNAcentral
GACGAACGCUGGCGGCGUGCUUAACACAUGCAAGUCGAACGGUGACGAGGAGCUUGCUCCUCUGAUCAGUGGCGAACGGGUGAGUAACACGUGAGUAACCUGCCCCAGACUCUGGAAUAACAGUUGGAAACAGCUGCUAAUACCGGAUACGAGACGGAGAGGCAUCUCUACCGUCUGGAAAGUUUUUCGGUCUGGGAUGGACUCGCGGCCUAUCAGCUUGUUGGUGAGGUAAUGGCUCACCAAGGCGACGACGGGUAGCCGGUCUGAGAGGGCGACCGGCCACACUGGGACUGAGACACGGCCCAGACUCCUACGGGAGGCAGCAGUGGGGAAUAUUGCACAAUGGGCGAAAGCCUGAUGCAGCAACGCCGCGUGAGGGAUGACGGCCUUCGGGUUGUAAACCUCUUUCAGUAGGGAAGAAGCGAAAGUGACGGUACCUACAGAAGAAGCACCGGCUAACUACGUG